UGGGGAAUAUUGGACAAUGGGCGAAAGCCUGAUCCAGCCAUGCCGCGUGUGUGAAGAAGGUCUUCGGAUUGUAAAGCACUUUAAGUUGGGAGGAAGGGCAUUAACCUAAUACGUUAGUGUUUUGACGUUACCGACAGAAUAAGCACCGGCUAACUCUGUGCCAGCAGCCGCGGAAAUACAGAGGGUGCAAGCGUUAAUCGGCAUUACUGGGCGUAAAGCGCGCGUAGGUGGUUUGUUAAGUUGGAUGUGAAAUCCCCGGGCUCAACCUGGGAACUGCAUUCAAAACUGACUGACUAGAGUAUGGUAGAGGGUGGUGGAAUUUCCUGUGUAGCGGUGAAAUGCGUAGAUAUAGGAAGGAACACCAGUGGCGAAGGCGACCACCUGGACUAAUACUGACACUGAGGUGCGAAAGCGCGGGGAGCAAACA
RNAcentral lists this ribosomal RNA (427 nucleotides) under uncultured bacterium. Its description in RNAcentral is "partial 16S ribosomal RNA". It matches the Rfam family "Bacterial small subunit ribosomal RNA", at positions 355 to 774 of the family's 1533-position model. The record is from RNAcentral.